Molecule: ribosomal RNA, 422 nt
Filed under: uncultured bacterium
Lineage: Bacteria
Description: bacterial SSU rRNA
Rfam family: Bacterial small subunit ribosomal RNA
Source: RNAcentral
UGAGGAAUAUUGGGCAAUGCCCGCAAGGGUGACCCAGCAACGCCGCGUGGAGGAUGAAUGUCGUAAGAUUGUAAACUCCUGUUAGAGGGGAAGAAUAGUACCGGUUGGACCGGUAUAUGACUGUACCCUCAGAGAAAGCCCCGGCUAACUACGUGCCAGCAGCCGCGGUAACACGUAGGGGGCAAGCGUUGUCCGGAUUUACUGGGUGUAAAGGGCGCGCAGGCGAGAUAAAAAGUCAGUGGUGAAAUCCUACAGCUUAACUGUAGAACUGCCUUUGAUACUUUUAUUCUUGAGUUCGGGAGAGAGAGACGGAAUUCCAGGUGUAGUGGUGAAAUACGUAGAUAUCUGGAAGAACACCAGUUGCGAAGGCGGUCUCUUGGUCCGACACUGACGCUGAGGCGCGAAAGCGUGGGGAGCAAACA